ACCUUACUGGCUCAGUUGGUAGAGCAUUUGACUCUUGAUCUUGGGGUCAUGAGUUCAAGCCCCAUAUUGGGUG
Molecule: transfer RNA, 73 nt
Filed under: Canis lupus familiaris (dog)
Lineage: Eukaryota; Metazoa; Chordata; Mammalia; Carnivora; Canidae
Also listed under: 1 other name
Rfam family: tRNA
About the family: Transfer RNA (tRNA) molecules are approximately 80 nucleotides in length.
Source: Rfam by way of RNAcentral